CAAAAAAGCAAAUCGAGCGGACAGAUGGGAGCUUGCUCCCUGAUGUUAGCGGCGGACGGGUGAGUAACACGUGGGUAACCUGCCUGUAAGACUGGGAUAACUCCGGGAAACCGGGGCUAAUACCGGAUGCUUGUUUGAACCGCAUGGUUCAAACAUAAAAGGUGGCUUCGGCUACCACUUACAGAUGGACCCGCGGCGCAUUAGCUAGUUGGUGAGGUAACGGCUCACCAAGGCAACGAUGCGUAGCCGACCUGAGAGGGUGAUCGGCCACACUGGGACUGAGACACGGCCCAGACUCCUACGGGAGGCAGCAGUAGGGAAUCUUCCGCAAUGGACGAAAGUCUGACGGAGCAACGCCGCGUGAGUGAUGAAGGUUUUCGGAUCGUAAAGCUCUGUUGUUAGGGAAGAACAAGUACCGUUCGAAUAGGGCGGUACCUUGACGGUACCUAACCAGAAAGCCACGGCUAACUACGUGCCAGCAGCCGCGGUAAUACGUAGGUGGCAAGCGUUGUCCGGAAUUAUUGGGCGUAAAGGGCUCGCAGGCGGUUUCUUAAGUCUGAUGUGAAAGCCCCCGGCUCAACCGGGGAGGGUCAUUGGAAACUGGGGAACUUGAGUGCAGAAGAGGAGAGUGGAAUUCCACGUGUAGCGGUGAAAUGCGUAGAGAUGUGGAGGAACACCAGUGGCGAAGGCGACUCUCUGGUCUGUAACUGACGCUGAGGAGCGAAAGCGUGGGGAGCGAACAGGAUUAGAUACCCUGGUAGUCCACGCCGUAAACGAUGAGUGCUAAGUGUUAGGGGGUUUCCGCCCCUUAGUGCUGCAGCUAACGCAUUAAGCACUCCGCCUGGGGAGUACGGUCGCAAGACUGAAACUCAAAGGAAUUGACGGGGGCCCGCACAAGCGGUGGAGCAUGUGGUUUAAUUCGAAGCAACGCGAAGAACCUUACCAGGUCUUGACAUCCUCUGACAAUCCUAGAGAUAGGACGUCCCCUUCGGGGGCAGAGUGACAGGUGGUGCAUGGUUGUCGUCAGCUCGUGUCGUGAGAUGUUGGGUUAAGUCCCGCAACGAGCGCAACCCUUGAUCUUAGUUGCCAGCAUUCAGUUGGGCACUCUAAGGUGACUGCCGGUGACAAACCGGAGGAAGGUGGGGAUGACGUCAAAUCAUCAUGCCCCUUAUGACCUGGGCUACACACGUGCUACAAUGGACAGAACAAAGGGCAGCGAAACCGCGAGGUUAAGCCAAUCCCACAAAUCUGUUCUCAGUUCGGAUCGCAGUCUGCAACUCGACUGCGUGAAGCUGGAAUCGCUAGUAAUCGCGGAUCAGCAUGCCGCGGUAAUACUUCCCCGGCC
This 1345-nucleotide ribosomal RNA is filed under the name Bacillus sp. (in: firmicutes). RNAcentral's name for it is "bacterial SSU rRNA". It matches the Rfam family "Bacterial small subunit ribosomal RNA", at positions 50 to 1379 of the family's 1533-position model. Lineage: Bacteria; Bacillati; Bacillota; Bacilli; Caryophanales; Bacillaceae. The record is from RNAcentral.